GACGAAUGCGCGGAAUCCUCCGCCGCGCCGCGACAUCCAUGAUUAUCCGGCGUGCCGCGGUUUUAUCGUCACAAACGCGAGUUUCUCCUUCGGUCAACGAACGAGUCACCCGGUAUUAUGGAGCCUAAAUCUCUGGCAACGAGCGAAGCAAAUUAUUCGGAAUUCUCCGACCGAAGAUGCCUGCCAAGAUAUACGUCGUGGCCGUUUCGCUGGCCUGUCUCCGUGGUCAAUCCGAUAAAUGCAUUUACGGUCGCAUUGUGCGAUAACAUACUACGCAUACUGCAUGCGGCUCUGACUGGGGGAAAAAGAGCUCGUGAUUCAACCACCGAAGCACCAGAGGCAAGAUGAAAGCUUUCGACGACGUGACUUUUGUACUCUAUGGCCUUUCUGAAUAUACGGGUAUGUCCAAGUUGCCUUCUAAAAGGGGAUGUAAGAGCUGGAUAUUAAAAUAUUCAAAUAAAAUGACAAGGCUCUGUUUCAAACGAGGCACAUAUUUUGCUCGGUGCUCCCAACUUCCAACACGUUUCGUCACGAAUCGAGAAUUGUCACGUGCUCCGUGAAAGAAGAUUACCCCACUCGAAGAACGAGUUUCAUCCAGCAAGUGUAACGGAUGCGAAUACAUUGACCACAUUUCCUUUCAUCAAAAGUGUCACGUACAUGUACUGAUAAAAACUUCGUGCACUUCGUGUUCUUCGUACUCUUCAUAUUUUCGGGCAUUAACAGCGGAAAUGUAGAAUGAUAUACAGAAACAUUUAAAUAUUAAUCCUGUUUCAUUAAAGUUUCAUAUAACAAAUAAUUCGUCAUUAUAGAAUUCGAAAAGGAAUAUUUUAGAACUUGAAGAAUUUAUAAAC
Molecule: long non-coding RNA, 851 nt
Organism: Bombus terrestris (buff-tailed bumblebee)
Lineage: Eukaryota; Metazoa; Arthropoda; Insecta; Hymenoptera; Apidae
Exons: 3
Source: RefSeq, a predicted model, not a curated record